RNAcentral lists this long non-coding RNA (931 nucleotides) under Homo sapiens (human). RNAcentral describes it as "non-protein coding lnc-RLBP1-1:5". The record is from RNAcentral. Lineage: Eukaryota; Metazoa; Chordata; Mammalia; Primates; Hominidae.
AGCUGUCGACUGGGCUCAGAGGAAUGAGGGGUGAAAUUUGAGGUCAUAUCCCGGGAGAGAGGAAGAAGGGUCGUGAGUCACCGAACCCGAAGGAGAGGAAAAGAUGUGGAGGCAGCGGUCUAUGGCCUCUUCCAGCUCCGGACGGGGGAUGGGGACGCUCUGGGCAAUACGGGCCUCAGUUAUUGUCCCACUGUCCUUUCAACCCUUAACCAACCCAGUUGGAGGCCGCCUGGAAGAAUGUAGCCUUGGAACUAGGGCCUGGAAUUGGGGCUCCUACCGGUUGUGUGGGCUUGGGCAAGUCACUUAACCUUCCCGCAUGCUCCCUUCACUUGGCAACUGAGGGUAACAAUAGUAGUUGAUGAGAAGAUUAAAUAAACUCUGAUAAAUGCCAACAGUGGCUGGCACUCAACAGGCAUUCAAUCAAGGCUGAUUCUUCCCCCAUCACCCACUCACCUCAUCCGGCUGGGAAACUAGGCCCAUUUCUAAAAUUCUAUGAGCCUGAAACUGCUUUUGCAAUGGCAUGUCGUGUACCAAGAAUAGAACACUUGAGCGACUUGAAAUGCAACCCCUGUAGGGCAGACAAGGCCACCCUACCAAGGCCCCAUAGGGCUCGGAGAGAGGGAGCAGGGGAUGAAAUGAGAGGAGCGAUUUAGUCAGAGAAGGGAAGUGGCAUUUGUUACCAUGUAAAUUUUUCCCAACAUAUUUCAGGUUGUGACAAGGAACAGUGGGCUGGCUCAAGUUUUAUGGAGCGUAACCAAAUAACAUCCUUUGAAGGCUGAUCAGCACCGGACCAGAAAUCAUUGCAUGAGCUCUAUCUGUCAGAGACCCCUGAAACCCAUUCCCCAUUCUGAAGGUGUAGACAUCACAGAGUGUGGACAGAAAUAGCUUCUCAGGCCUGAAUGUAGCCCCAGACCCUUUGUGUCUGUCUUUG